UGAGGAAUAUUGGACAAUGGGCGCAAGCCUGAUCCAGCCAUGCCGCGUGCAGGAAGAAGCAUCUAUGGUGUGUAAACUGCUUUUGUACGGGAAGAAACACUCCUACGUGUAGGAGCUCGACGGUACCGUAAGAAUAAGGAUCGGCUAACUCCGUGCCAGCAGCCGCGGUAAUACGGAGGAUCCAAGCGUUAUCCGGAAUCAUUGCGUUUAAAGGGUCCGUAGGUGGUUUAAUAAGUCUGUGGUGAAAGCCCAUCGCUCAACGAUGGAACGGCCAUUGAUAGUGCUAGACUUGAAUUAUUAGGAUGUGACUAGCAUAUGUAGUGUAGCGGUGAAAUGCUUAGAUAUUACAUGGAAUACCAAUUGCGAAGGCAAGUUACUUCUAAUGGAUAGACGCUGAUGGAAGAAAGCGUGGGGAGCGAACA
RNAcentral lists this ribosomal RNA (422 nucleotides) under uncultured bacterium. RNAcentral describes it as "bacterial SSU rRNA". It matches the Rfam family "Bacterial small subunit ribosomal RNA", at positions 355 to 774 of the family's 1533-position model. The record is from RNAcentral.